GAAGGAGGAGGCAGCCAGAGUGGCCACCACAGCUCUCUGCAGCAGAAGACCCCUUGCUGCCCUGCCGAACCCAGCAUUUGCCAGGUUUGCUGUUCACCUUCUGGAACAAUUCAGAAUUCCCUGCUGAUCUGCAGAAGGGGCCAGUUUUGGGGAUCUGUGGCUCCAUGGAUGCAGAAAAUGCCAUUGAUGUGGAAUGCAAUAGCUUACACAGCAGUAAAAGGUUUUAAGGCUUCUCUCCUUGCUUGAGCAAGGAGAUAAGCCAUGGAGCCCUUACAACUGGAGGAGGUGGAAAGGAACAAAAGGAAUGGAGCAAGUAGCUACGUCUGCUGCCCUGGAUUCUUGGAGGAAGGACAGGUUUAAAAAUAUAUGUAUAAUUCCUGACCAGCUCUGUAGUUUUCAUCGAAAAGCCACUUUGUCUUUUGACUGGGUUACAAUUGUUUGAAGGCCUAUUGGCUAAUACCAGUGAUGUCACCAACCUUUCCACCUAACCCCUAGAGCAGUUUUGUUUUAAAAAUCUUUUGAAAUUAUUGGAGAGAGGAGGAUGUGCACAUAUGUAUACAUGGGCACAUAUAUCAUUCACUUCCACAGCAUCACCCCAUGAUUUGAUGGAUUAUUCUUUGUAACAAAACAUUCUCAGUAGGCCCUUCAUCAGUACUGGAACAAAGA
This is a long non-coding RNA of Hemicordylus capensis (graceful crag lizard), 666 nucleotides long. RefSeq lists it as uncharacterized. The transcript has 3 exons. Lineage: Eukaryota; Metazoa; Chordata; Lepidosauria; Squamata; Cordylidae. The record is from RefSeq and is a predicted model, not a curated record.